GACGAACGCUGGCGGCGUGCUUAACACAUGCAAGUCGAACGGUAAGGCUCCAGCUUGCUGGGGUACACGAGUGGCGAACGGGUGAGUAACACGUGGGUGACCUGCCCUGCACUUCGGGAUAAGCCUGGGAAACUGGGUCUAAUACCGGAUAGGACCAUGGUGUGGAUACUGUGGUGGAAAGUUUUUUCGGUGUGGGAUGGGCCCGCGGCCUAUCAGCUUGUUGGUGGGGUAAUGGCCUACCAAGGCGGCGACGGGUAGCCGGCCUGAGAGGGUGGACGGCCACAUUGGGACUGAGACACGGCCCAGACUCCUACGGGAGGCAGCAGUGGGGAAUAUUGCGCAAUGGGCGGAAGCCUGAUGCAGCGACGCCGCGUGGGGGAUGACGGCCUUCGGGUUGUAAACUCCUUUCACCAUCGACGAAGGGUUUCUGACGGUAGAUGGAGAAGAAGCACCGGCUAACUACGUG
RNAcentral lists this ribosomal RNA (466 nucleotides) under uncultured bacterium. Its description in RNAcentral is "partial 16S ribosomal RNA". It matches the Rfam family "Bacterial small subunit ribosomal RNA", at positions 28 to 507 of the family's 1533-position model. The record is from RNAcentral.